Molecule: long non-coding RNA, 1540 nt
Filed under: Anser cygnoides (Swan goose)
Lineage: Eukaryota; Metazoa; Chordata; Aves; Anseriformes; Anatidae
Description: lncRNA (ENSACDG00005004413.1)
Source: RNAcentral
AUGCCUGCAAUGCGGAGGGGCAUUCCUAGCGUGUGGGGUUUAGAGGGGUGUGGGUUAAUGGUUCAUGUUUCCCUCCGUGCUUGGAAUCGAGCCCUUGUGCCAACUCGGACAAAAGCUGCCCUGUGUUCACUGCUCCUUCAGCCUGAACGGGCAAACCCAGGGGCGAGCCCACACGUCCCCCUUGGUGCUGGUCCUUGGGCCAGCUGCAAACAAGCCUCUCCUUUUACCUUCAUUCAGCAUUACCAAUUCAAAUGGAUUUUAAAGGAAUAUUCAGCUGGUGGGGCCGGGACCAGUGGGGAGCCCUCGGCCCUGCUGCCCCUUUCCGGCCGUUGCGCUCUGCAGCGGGACUCCAGACCACGAGCCUCGUGCGCUCGCGGUUUGUGGGUUUUGGCCCCUCUGUGGUUUAGCUUUCACUUCCCCCUCCAUGCUGAAGUGACAGGGAGAGCCGCGAGGCGUCGAGCGGCUGUUGGGGCGCGCGGAGCCUCCUGCCCUCACCUCACUCCCGGGUCUGCAGCGGGACCGGGUCGGCCACAGCUGGCGCAGGCAGCUCAGGAAGAGCCGCAGGCAGUGACACGGCACCCAGCAGCCCUCCUACCCCUGGAGCUGGGGACUGCUGGGGGUGCAGGGAGCUGGGGAGGGGCUGGGGGCUGCAGCAUCCCAGUGAGCCCCCUCCUGCCCUUCCUGGAGCCACAGCUCUGCCAGGAGCUGUUCAACUACACCCUGGAGCUGCUGCUGUGGAGGGGAGAUGUCGUCCGGGUCCCCUGCAAGCCUGAGCCAGCGAGGGACCGGCCUGGCCACCAGCAGGAGCACACGGCGAGGAUGGAGCCGGCCAAGCCGCCCCCCAGCAAGAGGAUGGCUCCCGCGCCCCCCGUCCCUGCCAAAACCAAGCCGGCCCUGGGGCUGCCGAGCAAGCCCAGCAGCCCCCAGCCCGGCACCUCGGCCGAAAUGGAGCGGGGCAGAGCCGGAGACCCAGACACCGAUGGCUUCAGUGCCCUGCAGGUGACCACGGCCAAGCUGAGCCACCCCACGGCCACGCGCCCCCGGGUGCCGGGCCGGCGGCUGCCCAGUAUGGCCGGGGUGGGCUUGGGGCCGCCCUGCGCCGAGCUCUGCCCCCAUCUCCCCGCCGCGGGGCAGGGCCCGGAGCAGCGGCUGGCCCUGGAGGACCUGAAGGCCGAGGUCCGGUCCCUGCACAUCCUCGUGGACCUGAUGCGAGGCCAGCACCUGAGGGACCUGGAGGACGUGAGGCUGGAGCUGCAGCACGAGCGGACCAAGCGCGAGGCGCUGCAGGCGGAGAUUGAGCGGGUGAGGAAGGCGCUGCCCUGCUAGCGGGGGGGGCUGCGGGGGGUGCGCAGGGACCCCCAAAGCAUCCCCAGCCCCAGGAGCACCCCCAGCCCUGGCCUGGGGCUGUGCCGAUCCGGACACGAGGGACCCCUGCACCUGGGCACCGCCUGCUGCGCCUCUGAGGCCAUGAAGCAGACCCUGCUUUGUCACAAAUACUGGUUAAAAUAAACUAUUUUGGGUACGGAGUGCUGCUGGGGUC